GAUGAACGCUGGCGGCGUGCCUAAUACAUGCAAGUCGAGCGAACGGACGAGAAGCUUGCUUCCCUGAUGUUAGCGGCGGACGGGUGAGUAACACGUGGAUAACCUACCUAUAAGACUGGGAUAACUUCGGGAAACCGGAGCUAAUACCGGAUGAUAUUUUGAACCGCAUGGUUCAAAAGUGAAAGACGGUCUUGCUGUCACUUAUAGAUGGAUCCGCGCUGCAUUAGCUAGUUGGUAAGGUAACGGCUUACCAAGGCAGCGAUGCAUAGCCGACCUGAGAGGGUGAUCGGCCACACUGGAACUGAGACACGGUCCAGACUCCUACGGGAGGCAGCAGUAGGGAAUCUUCCGCAAUGGGCGAAAGCCUGACGGAGCAACGCCGCGUGAGUGAUGAAGGUCUUCGGAUCGUAAAACUCUGUUAUUAGGGAAGAACAUAUGUGUAAGUAACUGUGCACAUCUUGACGGUACCUAAUCAGAAAGCCACGGCUAACUACGUG
This 497-nucleotide ribosomal RNA is filed under the name uncultured bacterium. Its description in RNAcentral is "partial 16S ribosomal RNA". It matches the Rfam family "Bacterial small subunit ribosomal RNA", at positions 28 to 507 of the family's 1533-position model. The record is from RNAcentral.